Molecule: ribosomal RNA, 389 nt
Filed under: uncultured bacterium
Lineage: Bacteria
Description: bacterial SSU rRNA
Rfam family: Bacterial small subunit ribosomal RNA
Source: RNAcentral
GAACGAACGCUGGCGGCGCGCCUAAUACAUGCAAGUCGAGCGAGAAGACGUAGCAAUACGUUUGUAAAGCGGCGAACGGGUGAGGAAUACAUGGGUAACCUACCCUCGAGUGGGGAAUAACUAGCCGAAAGGUUAGCUAAUACCGCGUACGCUCCUUGGACUUCGGUUCAGGGAGGAAAGCGAUACCGUGGGUAUCGCGCUCUUGGAUGGGCUCAUGUCCUAUCAGCUUGUUGGUGAGGAACGGCUCACCAAGGCUUCGACGGGUAGCUGGUCUGAGAGGACGAUCAGCCACACUGGCACUGCGACACGGGCCAGACUCCUACGGGAGGCAGCAGUAAGGAAUAUUGCGCAAUGGGCGAAAGCCUGGCGCAGCGACGCCGCGUGGGGGA